Molecule: transfer RNA, 72 nt
Filed under: Ictidomys tridecemlineatus (thirteen-lined ground squirrel)
Lineage: Eukaryota; Metazoa; Chordata; Mammalia; Rodentia; Sciuridae
Description: Spermophilus tridecemlineatus (thirteen-lined ground squirrel) tRNA
Rfam family: tRNA
About the family: Transfer RNA (tRNA) molecules are approximately 80 nucleotides in length. Their secondary structure includes four short double-helical elements and three loops (D, anti-codon, and T loops). Further hydrogen bonds mediate the characteristic L-shaped molecular structure. tRNAs have two regions of fundamental functional importance: the anti-codon, which is responsible for specific mRNA codon recognition, and the 3' end, to which the tRNAs corresponding amino acid is attached (by aminoacyl-tRNA synthetases). tRNAs cope with the degeneracy of the genetic code in two manners: having more than one tRNA (with a specific anti-codon) for a particular amino acid; and 'wobble' base-pairing, i.e. permitting non-standard base-pairing at the 3rd anti-codon position.
Source: Rfam by way of RNAcentral
GGGGUUGUGGCUCAGUGGUAGAGCGCUUGCCUAGCAUGCAUGGGGCCCUGGGUUCAAUUCUCAGCAUCACAU